UCUCACACAAGUUUAGAACUGCAAAUAACGGUUCCGGUGAUUUAUCCAUUUAAUUUCGGGAUACCUUUUAGGGGUACAUAGAAUUAUUGCAGUCCUUAUGGGGCAUUUGCUCAAAAGUAUAUACUAUCAAAUAACUAUGCGUAUUACAUACUGUAGGUAUAUUUGUUAAGAACUUUCAUCAAAAUCAGCUCUCCAUCUGUGCACAAUAAAAAUAUUAUUAACCCCUGCAUAUGAAAUGAAUUUGAAUAUGAGAGAAAAGAAUAAGAGUUUCAAAUAUUAAAGACACUAUAACGAUUGGCGCUUGGGAAUCUCAUUCAAAAUCUCUAUUACUCGGGUCCAAGAUGAAACGUCUAUGUUCUUUACUUUGUCAAACAUCUGCAUUGCGUUUUCAGUGUCGCCACACCUACAGAACAUGUCAGCAAGGGCUCUGUUAAGCUUCAAGUCGCGAUGAAUCCCCUGAUUUUCAACGCAAUGGUAGAUCC
This is a long non-coding RNA of Rhododendron vialii, 482 nucleotides long. RefSeq lists it as uncharacterized. The record is from RefSeq and is a predicted model, not a curated record. The transcript is spliced from 2 exons. NCBI's taxonomy places the organism in Eukaryota, Viridiplantae, Streptophyta, Magnoliopsida, Ericales, Ericaceae.